GGCUCUGUGAAGUUAUACAGAGUUUGACCUGCCCGGUGUAAUUUUAUUAACGGCCGCAGUAUCCUGACUGUGCAAAGGUAGCAUAAUCAUUUGUCUCUUAAUUGGGGACUGGUAUGAAGGGUUUGACAGGAGCUAAGCUGUCUCGGAAUAUUUUUAUAGAAUUUAACUUAUAGGUGAAAAGGCCUAUAUGGAUUUGAUAGACAAGAAGACCCUGUCGAGCUUGAAAUAGAAGCUUAGAAUAAUUUUAUAUUUUUGGUUGGGGCGACAGAGGAAUAAAUGAAACUUCCUUAGUAAAGUUGACGGACUUGUAGUGAUCCACUUACUAGUGAUCAUUGGAAAAGCUACCGCAGGGAUAACAGCGUAAUUUUCUUAGAGAGUUCUUAUCGAAAAGAAAGUUUGCGACCUCGAUGUUGGAUUAGAGGAGCCGAAAGGUGUAGAAGCCUUUAGUGGUUAGUCUGUUCGACUAUUAAAUCUCUACA
This 479-nucleotide ribosomal RNA is filed under the name Laeviphitus sp. KeSn3. Its description in RNAcentral is "partial 16S ribosomal RNA". It matches the Rfam family "Bacterial large subunit ribosomal RNA", at positions 1819 to 2600 of the family's 2925-position model. Lineage: Eukaryota; Metazoa; Mollusca; Gastropoda; Littorinimorpha; Elachisinidae. The record is from RNAcentral.